This 705-nucleotide small RNA is filed under the name uncultured Candida. Its description in RNAcentral is "eukaryotic LSU rRNA". The stretch from base 423 to 705 matches the Rfam family "Eukaryotic large subunit ribosomal RNA", at positions 1 to 281 of the family's 3401-position model. Lineage: Eukaryota; Fungi; Ascomycota; Saccharomycetes; Saccharomycetales. The record is from RNAcentral.
CUUGGUCAUUUAGAGGAAGUAAAAGUCGUAACAAGGUUUCCGUAGGUGAACCUGCGGAAGGAUCAUUAAAGUUUGCUUAAUUGCAUUACACAUGUUUUUUUAGAGAACUUGCUUGCAAGAACACUAAUAAUUUACUUAGUCAACAAAUAAAAAUAUCAAAACUUUCAACAACGGAUCUCUUGGUUCUCGCAUCGAUGAAGAACGCAGCGAAAUGCGAUACGUAAUAUGAAUUGCAGAUUUUCGUGAAUCAUCGAAUCUUUGAACGCACAUUGCGCCCUGUGGUAUUCCACAGGGCAUGCCUGUUUGAGCGUCAUUUCUCCCUCAAACCUCUGGUUUGGCGUUGAGUGAUACUCGGUUUACUUGAAAAACAUGAAAAGCAUAACUAUUAGGUUUUACCAACUCGUUAUACUAAUCUACAAGUUUGACCUCAAAUCAGGUAGGACUACCCGCUGAACUUAAGCAUAUCAAUAAGCGGAGGAAAAGAAACCAACCGGGAUUGCCUCAGUAACGGCGAGUGAAGCGGCAAAAGCUCAAAUUUGAAAUCUGGUACCUUUGGUAUCCGAGUUGUAAUUUGAAGAUGGUAACUUUGGAUUUGGUUCUUGUGUAAGUUCCUUGGAAUAGGGCUUCAUGGAGGGUGAGAAUCCCGUGUCGCGAGAAUACCAUUUCUAUGUAAAGUGCUAUCGAAGAGUCGAGUUGUUUGGGAAU